RNAcentral lists this ribosomal RNA (644 nucleotides) under uncultured Gammaproteobacteria bacterium. RNAcentral describes it as "bacterial SSU rRNA". It matches the Rfam family "Bacterial small subunit ribosomal RNA", at positions 338 to 974 of the family's 1533-position model. The record is from RNAcentral. Lineage: Bacteria; Pseudomonadati; Pseudomonadota; Gammaproteobacteria.
CCAACGGGAGGCAGCAGUGGGGAAUAUUGGACAAUGGGGGAAACCCUGAUCCAGCCAUGCCGCGUGUGUGAAGAAGGCCUUCGGGUUGUAAAGCAUUUUAAGCGAGGAGGAAGGUUCGUUACUUAAUACGUAACGGAAUUGACGUUACUCGCAGAAUAAGCACCGGCUAACUCUGUGCCAGCAGCCGCGGUAAUACAGAGGGUGCAAGCGUUAAUCGGAAUUACUGGGCGUAAAGCGCGCGUAGGCGGUUGUGUAAGUUGGAUGUGAAAUCCCAGGGCUCAACCUGGGCACUGCAUUCAAAACUGCACGGCUAGAGUAUGGGAGAGGAAGGUAGAAUUCCAGGUGUAGCGGUGAAAUGCGUAGAGAUCUGGAGGAAUACCGAUGGCGAAGGCAGCCUUCUGGCCUAAUACUGACGCUGAGGUGCGAAAGCAUGGGGAGCAAACAGGAUUAGAUACCCUGGUAGUCCAUGCCGUAAACGAUGUCGACUAGGUGUUGGGGAACUUGAUUCCUUAGUGCCGCAGCUAACGCAUUAAGUCGACCGCCUGGGGAGUACGACCGCAAGGUUAAAACUCAAAUGAAUUGACGGGGGCCAGCACAAGCGGUGGAGCAUGUGGUUUAAUUCGAUGCAACGCGAAGAACCUUAC